Molecule: RNA transcript, 1122 nt
Organism: Mandrillus leucophaeus (drill)
Lineage: Eukaryota; Metazoa; Chordata; Mammalia; Primates; Cercopithecidae
Gene name: snRNA-activating protein complex subunit 5 pseudogene
Exons: 3
Source: RefSeq, a predicted model, not a curated record
AUGUGUGUGUCUGAAGGUGGAUAUUGUUAUGCAAGGAAGAGAAGUGAAUAUACAGGAAAUGAGAUCCUUAAAGAGGUUGCCAUCCAGAUGUUAAAUCAAAGAGAUUAUGAUUCAUUCAACCAAGUUGUACUUUUGAAGGCCUGUCCAAGUCAUGGUGCCUUUGAGGUUUUGCCUGUUACUAUUCAGAACUUGUUUCAAAAUCUCAUUCUCACUCGUCUCAAAGAAAUGCACAAGAAGGAGGAAACACUGCUCCCGUUGAAGGCAACCCUUGCACAACCUGGUGAAUCACAUCAAGGUUGAAACAUUGGCCCUCCAAUCAACGAUUAGUUCUAGGAGAGGGGAUGAGGUGCUGUCUUCUCCAACAUCUCCAACUGCGCCUGAACAGUCACUUGUCAUGUCGGUGCAUAUAGACAAUGAAGCAUCAGUCAACCAAACUACACUGGAGUGGAGCACAAAGAGUCCUGUGAUGGAAGAAGAAGAGGAAGAGAAAGAAGAAUCAGAUUCCUAAAGGAGGGAAAAAGCCAGGGUUCCUUACAUAAAUUAAAUUUCUAAGUCUCAGGCUCUUUCUCUCCAAGGAAAUCAUCUUGCCAUGAGCCCUAGGGCCUGCUUGAAUGGAGAGCAAGAACUAUAGGAGGAUGUGUAGUUGCAAAAUUGCACCAUCAAUAACUCAAUCUUCAGAACGUUAUGACAUGCAGAAAAUCAAAGAUGCUGUGUCUUAGCAUUGAGCAAUAUGGGUGGUGCUAUGCCUGCAGUCUGGUCAAAUUCAGUAACUGUUCAAAACAAAAUCUCUCCUGGGAUACUAUUGAGAAAAUCUGGCAUUUGCAAAAAGGGCAGAGUUUAAAUAUGAGCCAGUCUUUCCAAUCAACAAUACCUAUUUUAAGAAAACCAACUAACAGCCGUUUGCAUGCCAUUGAAUCCUUGUGAGCAGUGAGGCCAUAGUCUAGGACAGAAAGAUGACAUGGGGAAGGACUGAGGGCCAUCUGAGAACAAAAGCUGUUGCUACUUCUCAGAGGCAUUGAGACACACUGCAUGCUGUAGACUGCUUUGUGUAGCUGUUAUCACAUCUUGCUUGAGACGUCACUGGUAGAAUGUUCUUAGAAAUAAAUUAUAGAUAAAUAGCCA